GAUGAACGCUGGCGGCGUGCUUAACACAUGCAAGUCGAGCGAUGAAGUUUCCUUCGGGAAACGGAUUAGCGGCGGACGGGUGAGUAACACGUGGGUAACCUGCCUCAUAGAGUGGAAUAGCCUUCCGAAAGGAAGAUUAAUACCGCAUAAUGUUGAAAGAUGGCAUCAUCAUUUAACCAAAGGAGCAAUCCGCUAUGAGAUGGACCCGCGGCGCAUUAGCUAGUUGGUGGGGUAACGGCCUACCAAGGCGACGAUGCGUAGCCGACCUGAGAGGGUGAUCGGCCACAUUGGGACUGAGACACGGCCCAGACUCCUACGGGAGGCAGCAGUGGGGAAUAUUGCACAAUGGGGGAAACCCKGAUGCAGCAACGCCGCGUGAGUGAUGAAGGUUUUCGGAUCGUAAAGCUCUGUCUUUGGGGAAGAUAAUGACGUACCCAA
RNAcentral lists this ribosomal RNA (438 nucleotides) under uncultured bacterium. Its description in RNAcentral is "bacterial SSU rRNA". It matches the Rfam family "Bacterial small subunit ribosomal RNA", at positions 28 to 463 of the family's 1533-position model. The record is from RNAcentral.